Dreissena polymorpha is the source of this 1237-nucleotide long non-coding RNA. RefSeq lists it as uncharacterized. The record is from RefSeq and is a predicted model, not a curated record. The transcript has 4 exons. NCBI's taxonomy places the organism in Eukaryota, Metazoa, Mollusca, Bivalvia, Myida, Dreissenidae.
UAGUGUUUAAAAUCGCGCGGAGAUUGUAGAAUGCUAUUUUAAGAAGUCUAUUAAAGAGAGAAAAUCCAGUAAAUACCAGAUCCAAAAAGCGCGGAACACAAAUAUCGUCCGCGAAAAUUAAGCAUUGAAUUACUGUACAAAUCUCGGGUUGUUAGGUGUUAGAAUCCCUAGUUACCCGAAAAAUUUGAUUGGAUCCGAUACUUAGAAAUAACCAAUCAGAUACUUUGUAACAAAUGCAACACAAUCAGUGCGUUUAGUAAGUAUAACGUUUCAAGAUGGCGGAGCGAAUUGCAUGGUUAUUGUUUCUACUCGAUGGAUUCGCAGAUAAUUCGGAAAUAGAUCAGAUUGGGAUCAAUAACUGUAUUGCAUACGAUCAUUUACAUGUAUUACCAGGUGUGUGUUGCCAGUAAUGGUUGAAGAUAUGCCAAACAAAUUGUGCCUCUCUAUACAGACAGAUUUCAGGUCUCAAUUUCGACUUCAAAGGUCAACAUAUCACUGAUAUCAGGAAUUCUGUACAACUGUGGAACCAUGUAUGGUACGUGACCGCACAAUGUUGGUUGGCAAAAGGAUAUUGGAAUAAGCAAAGGGACUCAACAUUACACAGUCAUUUCAACAUGUAGAGUCUUGUCAGCAAUGAUGGAGCAGUACUUCAGAUUUCCAGAAUCUCGUCAUGAGCUGAAGAUCAUUGCCUAUGAAUUUCAUGAAUGAUGUAGAAUGAUUGGACUGUUGAUGGAACCCACAGUGCAUGUCCUGCUUCAACAUCUGAGCAUAGGUCCUUGUUUAUCAGCAGUUUAGUUCUUCAAGCAGUCUGUGACAGUUACUUGAAAUGUUUGGACAUAUGACCUGGAUGGCCAAGUUCUGUGCAUGAUGCCCAUUUAAAUAGGAACGGCCCAGUGGCGCAUUAAAUGGACAUUUUUCGAAUGUUCUCGAGGAUUCAGCUUAGCGCCUGACAAGAAAUCUUGCUUUUUGUUCAGUAUCGAGGCCAUGGACAUUUGUAUCAUUUGCAAAAGAUACUGCGAUAUUUGUGCCUUUGUUCAUGCUUUAUAGUUGAUUAACAAUUGGAAGCCAUAACCUGUUUUUAAGAUGGUGUUAGUGGGACAAUGAAUUUUGUAAAGAUUUAAAGACUGGAAAAGAUAAUUAAAAGUCAAAAGAGUUCUGCUAUUGUUAAGCAUGCUUUAUUGAUUUGUAAUGUUAGAAAGAUGGCAUUAUUAACAGAAUAAAAUGUCCAUAAUUUGAA